Hyaena hyaena (striped hyena) is the source of this 1270-nucleotide long non-coding RNA. RefSeq lists it as uncharacterized. The record is from RefSeq and is a predicted model, not a curated record. The transcript is spliced from 5 exons. Lineage: Eukaryota; Metazoa; Chordata; Mammalia; Carnivora; Hyaenidae.
CCCCGAGGCAGGUACCUCAGUAACAGUUUAGUAUCUGCGAGAGAGAACACAGAUUAAGACCACAAUUCACAAAAGCCUACUACAGAAAGUAGAGAUACAAGGUCCCUUCAUGUGAAGAUUACUGGUUGCACACGGCCUCCAGAAACUCACUGGAUAACUGGAAAAAACUCAGUGUAUCACAAAGCAAAUAUAAUAAAAGGUCAACAUUUGAAGAAACUGGAUAAACGGUAUACAGGAUUCUUUGCAACAUUUUUUCCACACUUUUCUGGUUCCUUAUUUCACUCUGCCAACUUUAAAGAGUCUUAGCUAAAACUGAAUCAAGAGCUGUGGAUACAGACUGGACUGAAGCUGGAUAGUGUGUAAACCAGAGAGUCAAGACCAGCAAUGAAGGACCCAGGCCUGAAACAUCAAUUUUCUCUCAGCAAACCCAGAGAAACUAUGAACAGAAUCCUCAAGCAACACUAAAUACAGCAAUAUCAAUUAUGAGACAAGCUGUUAAUGAUUCAUCCAGGAAGCAGAGCAAAUGCCAAGAUGCCACUGCAGGCAAAAGUCGAAGGGCGCAUCCAUCAGAGUGUCAUAUGCCAAAGCAAACCCUCAAAAGUUGGCUGAUAAAUCUAAAUACAUAAUCUCAAUAACUUCAUAAUAUCAGAAGCCAAACACACACACAUUCUCUCUCUGUUCCUUUCAAAAAAGCAUAUGCUUCUAUACUGACUCACGCUAUGUAUUUCUUUAUUCCUAUAUAAAUAAUAUUUAUUCUCAUAUUAUAGUGAUCACUAUAUUGCCACAUUUCUAAAGGCCUGGUCAAUACAGAAACACCAUUAUACCUAGGUUUUCCACACACCUGACAUGACUACUAUUUUCUAAUAAAAAUUUACACAUGUGAAUUCCAUUACUGUAUUGAUUUGCUCUAGGAGCAAAGAUGCACAAGACAAAAACAUGUUGUAACUUGUGCCUCUUAAGAAACCAGAGCAAAAUUACUUUCCAGAGAGAAGCUGAGUAGGUGGUUCUCUAUGUUACUCAAAUUCCAACUGUCAGCAAAUCUCAGCACACAUAAUAAAACAAAUUUGCCAAAUAGUUUUUUUUUGGGGGGGGGAACAUGGUAAUCUAAAUGCUUUACUCUCUGCAAAACUGAAUUUUGCUUUCAAGAGAAAUCUUUAGUUAGCCUAAGUACAACAGUGAAAGACUUGAAAGUACAUAUAUCAUUAUACAGUAAUUUUGUUUUUAACUAGGUCAAUGAAUAGCACUAUGUAAGCAUAUAUAAUGUAUAGAC